CCUACGGGAGGCAGCAGUGGGGAAUAUUGCACAAUGGGGGAAACCCUGAUGCAGCGACGCCGCGUGAGUGAAGAAGUAUUUCGGCAUGUAAAGCACUAUCAGCAGGGAAGAAGAAAGACGGUACCGGACUAAGAAGCCCCGGCUAACUACGUGCCAGAAGCCGCGGUAAAACGUAGGGGGCAAGCGUUAACCGGAUUUACUGGGGGUAAAGGGAGCGUAGACGGUAGUGCAAGUCUGAAGUGAAAGCCCAGGGCUCAACCCUGGGACUGCUUUGGCAACUGUGGAGCUAGAGUGCUGGAGAGGUAAGUGGAAUGCCUGGUGUAGCGGUGAAAUGCGUAGAUAUUAGGAGGAACACCAGUGGCGAAGGCGGCUUACUGGACAGUAACUGACGUUGAGGCUCGAAAGCGUGGGGAGCAAACAGGAUUAGAUACCCUUGUAGUC
This 441-nucleotide ribosomal RNA is filed under the name uncultured bacterium. Its description in RNAcentral is "partial 16S ribosomal RNA". It matches the Rfam family "Bacterial small subunit ribosomal RNA", at positions 338 to 795 of the family's 1533-position model. The record is from RNAcentral.